This is a non-coding RNA of 177 nucleotides. It matches the Rfam family "T-box leader". From Rfam's summary of the family: Uncharged tRNA acts as the effector for transcription antitermination of genes in the T-box leader family. T-boxes are found upstream of many aminoacyl-tRNA synthetase genes and some amino acid biosynthetic genes usually in Gram-positive bacteria. The anticodon of a specific tRNA base pairs to a specifier sequence within the T-box motif, and the NCCA acceptor tail of the tRNA base pairs to a conserved bulge in the T-box antiterminator hairpin.
UUUAAGGCUAUGAUUAGGAUGAGUAAAUUUAAUUUUGAAAUUUUAGAGAGAAAGUGUUUGGUGAAAACUUUUAUUUCAAAUAAAUUGAAGCUACCUAGGAGCUUAUAACUUAAAGUGGUGUAGAAUAAGCUACAUAAUUAGGGUGGUACCGCGGAAAUUUAUGUUUUCGUCCCUUGU